UACGUAGGUGACAAGCGUUGUCCGGAUUUACUGGGCGUAAAGAGCGCGCAGGCGGUCGAUCAAGUCGAGUGUGAAAGCCCCCGGCUCAACUGGGGAGGGUCAUUCGAUACUGAUCGACUCGAAGGCAGGAGAGGGUAGUGGAAUUCCCGGUGUAGUGGUGAAAUGCGUAGAUAUCGGGAGGAACACCAGUGGCGAAGGCGGUUCUCUGGGCCUUACCUGACGCUGAGACGCGAAAGCGUGGGGAGCAAACAGG
Molecule: ribosomal RNA, 253 nt
Filed under: uncultured bacterium
Lineage: Bacteria
Description: partial 16S ribosomal RNA
Rfam family: Bacterial small subunit ribosomal RNA
Source: RNAcentral